GCGUGAUGGCCUCUGAUCUCCUUGGGAGAAAGGAGAGAAAAAGUGAUACCCGCAUCCUGCCGCUGGGGUGACCUGGCUGGCCCUGCGCCUUCAGAAAGGAACAUCUCUUCUGGACAUGUUCACGUACUGGCUAAGUUGGGUUUGUCCAGCAAAAAGUAGUAUCUUCCCACUCUGCAGAAACUGGUGAGUCUGCAGGUGAAGGAGGCAGACGCCUGUUUUUCUACUUCUGCACAUUAUUUGUACAUAGACUGAAAAGAAACAAUAUAAACUUAUUAGGAAGCAGAGGGCAUAUCUCCAUGCCUGGGGGAAUUUGGUGAAGGCAAAUGCAGCAAAAGGAAUUUUGAACAAAUUUUGGGCACGUUACCUCAGAAUCCUUCAUCCAAGCGUUUGUUUAUUCUGAAUUUAUCCUGGGCUCAUUCAGUCAGGAAAAGAGGAGGCUCAGGAGAGACCGUAUCCCUCUCUACAGCUACCUGAAAGGAGGUUGUAGCGAGGUGGAGGUCAGCCCCUUCUCCCAGGUAAACAGCGACAGGAUGAGAGGUAAUGGCCUGAAGUUGCUCCAGGGAGGGGAGGUUCACGUUGGAUAUCAGGAAAAAAGUCUUCUCAGAAAGAAAUAAUGCAUAUUGGAACAGGCUGCCAGGGGAGAUAGCGAUGUCACCGUCCCCGAAGGUGUUCAGAAACAUGCAGAUGUGGCACUGAGGGAUGUGGUUCUGUGGGCAUGGUGGUGGUGGGCUGAUGGACUAGAUGAUCUUAUAGGUCUUUUCCAACCGUAAUGAUUCUAUGAUUUUAUGAUUCUACAAUGUACGCGUAGGCUCUAGAGAUGUGCAGGUUGGUCAGCACAGACCUCCCCCACCUUGGGCCCGCUCCACGAAGAUCUAUACCAAAGCAUCUGGAAGUAAAGCUCAACGCUUGCCGCUCUCCUCCUCUAACGCUGAACUUUGUGAGACAGCACAGCAGUGUCUGAGGGACCGUAAGCCUGCUCUACUCCAAGCAGUCAGCCAAGCAGUCGACGUGGUAAUGCGUGGCUCUGUGCUGGCCCAUUUAUCCUUCUUUCAUUGCAUGUGGUGUAGAAGACUUUUGGGUCUUGAUUAGACACAAAGGACUGCUCUGGAUGGUUCUAACACAGCCUACCCAGGCCGUUCUUGCUGAAGUACAGGAGGAUAUUUGCAUGAAACUGUCUCCCCUUUACUCCUAGUCUCCUUUUCCCAUAUACAUUAGAUCUUUAGCAACACAACUAUUCCAGCUCAAACAUCACUCUUGGAUGUUCUCAAGCCUGUGAACCUUCCCUUGGGUAGAAGCAGCCCUUGUGGAUAUUACUAAUUACUCAUCAGUGAAACUGAACAUCCAGUU
This 1347-nucleotide long non-coding RNA is filed under the name Gallus gallus (chicken). Its description in RNAcentral is "long non-coding RNA NONGGAT008138". Lineage: Eukaryota; Metazoa; Chordata; Aves; Galliformes; Phasianidae. The record is from RNAcentral.